AGAGAAGCUGAGCGUGCCAAGAGAUCCCUUAGUAGCCAGCACCAAGUCCGGGUUGAGAUUGAAUCAUUAUUUGAUGGUACUGAUUUCUCUGAACCACUGACCCGUGCUCGCUUUGAGGAGUUGAACAAUGAUCUCUUCAGAAAGACAAUGGGACCUGUGAAGAAGGCAAUGGAUGAUGCUGGCCUACAAAAGAACCAGAUUGAUGAGA
Molecule: unclassified non-coding RNA, 208 nt
Filed under: Hevea brasiliensis (rubber tree)
Lineage: Eukaryota; Viridiplantae; Streptophyta; Magnoliopsida; Malpighiales; Euphorbiaceae
Source: RNAcentral